Long non-coding RNA from Hirundo rustica (Barn swallow), 936 nucleotides. RefSeq lists it as uncharacterized. NCBI's taxonomy places the organism in Eukaryota, Metazoa, Chordata, Aves, Passeriformes, Hirundinidae. The transcript is spliced from 3 exons. The record is from RefSeq and is a predicted model, not a curated record.
GCGUCUGCGGGAAUUGGCCAGCGGAGAUGGCCCGGAUCUUACCCCGUGUUUAAACUCUCACUCUGGACCUAACCCCGGCGGCCCGCCUGCGGACUUUGGCGCCUAUGCGCUCCGCGGCGCGGCUCCUCCCCGGCGCGGUAUUUCUACUGAGGUGUGGAUACUAAUUUUCAGGGCCUCUAUCAGUAACUUGUACAUGUGUUGGAAUUCACUGCUCCUCUUCUGCUGCUGGCUCCUUAGCUGGAAGGAAAGCUUUCACACAGAGUUGAUUUGUACGAGGAAAUUUGAGGACUGACAGCAACUCCCCGUGCUCCUCGAAAGGAUUCAUACCAUGAAGAACCACAAAACCAUCUGAUGCCAGAAAAUACAAACCACACAGACCUUGAAACCUCCCUUUCUGCCACAAGAACUCAAGCAUGCUCCAGACCAGGAGCAUGAACUGAGACACUCUAGAGAAUCAUUUGUCUCUUUUUUUCACAGGAUGUUUUACUUGGGUCUCAAGCCCCCUAGAAGGGAAGGCAGAAAUUAUGUAUCCAUUAGCAUUUGCCAUGAUUCAUUUGGCCUCAAGCACAAGAAUGGGUUUUUUUAAUGCAGAAAGUGUAUUGUUUUUCCUGUGUGGCACUGCUUGACUACAUCAUAUGGAGGAAUGAAAGCAGGAUGCCCAAUCAGGUACCAAGCAUCACUCAAACCCACUAAUAUUUACAAUUCAAUCUCUGAUCAACCAGUCUUGGUUGUGAAAACUCAACUGUGGUUCAAAAAAACCAAACCUAAACACACACACACACACACGGGAAAAAAAAAGUCAACCGAACUUCAAGAGCUCUGAAUCCACCAGAGGAUAGUUAAAGGAUUAGUAAAAGGAGAACAAAACCAAACUCACCACAAUUCAGCACAAACAACAAACCAGAUAAAGGCAGGGAACAUCGGCAUUGCUCUUUC